RNAcentral lists this small RNA (122 nucleotides) under Acanthamoeba castellanii mamavirus. RNAcentral describes it as "unknown". Lineage: Varidnaviria; Bamfordvirae; Nucleocytoviricota; Megaviricetes; Imitervirales; Mimiviridae. The record is from RNAcentral.
UUUUAAUAGUUGAGUAUUAUAUUGUCUUAACGCGACUAUUAAAAUAUUUUAUAUUAACAAAAAUAGCUCGUUCAAUUAUUCUAUAUGAAUUUAAUGGGUGAUAUCUCCACGCAUUAUUCUAU